Molecule: long non-coding RNA, 1369 nt
Organism: Mytilus californianus (California mussel)
Lineage: Eukaryota; Metazoa; Mollusca; Bivalvia; Mytilida; Mytilidae
Exons: 3
Source: RefSeq, a predicted model, not a curated record
UUCACAUGUCCUUGGCUAUCUCCCAAAUUCUUUGGUUUAUUUACCUGCUAAACACGGCAUGCAGAACUAGUGCGGGUGAAGGCAUUAGAUUGGAUAUUGGUCAUGAUGUAUCGAAAUCAGAUCGAAUGGUGACAGAUGAAAUUUUCAAAACCACACAUCAGUUGCCACAUAAUCAGAUAAUAGAUGUGGAAUGUCCUGCAGAUACUUUGCUUAUGUUUGCUUCCUUAUCAAGUAACUCUGCAGUACGAAGUUCUGUUACUGGCGGAUGGUUGUUAUCUAGUCUAUACAAUCAAAUUAGGGAAUACAUAAAAAAUGGCAAAAUAUGGUCGACAGAAUUUACUCAGGUGCUCAAUAGUACUUUGAAAGAAAUGGCCACAAAGUACUUCAAACCAUCUGACGAAACCUCAAAACUGUAUGGAGAAUUUUCUCCUGGUUGUUAUAGUCAUGUUUUGUCUGCUGAUAUUUUAUUUAAUAAGAAACAGUGAAAAUUAACUUUAACCUUGGAGAAAAAAGAAGGAUAUCGUUUUUUGUUUCUAUUAUCUAUUUAGAAUUUUUAGUAAAAUGGUGGAGAACAUUUUGAGCCAAAUAGAAAAUGUUUGGAAGUGUAGGCAAACAAUGAUACAUGCAAAAGCGAUGUAGGCGACCUUUGAAGGUCAAUAUAUAUAUGAAAAGUUAAAUUUUAAAAGGAGAAGGUAUGGUGAUGCCACUUUUUAUUAUCACACGAAUUCGAAAAUCAUAAAAUAUAUGCUUUAGAUGUUCGUAAGACAUUAGUUUGUGAGAUAAAAGUAUUUAUAUUUUUGCUACAAAUUAUUUUUACAUAGAUUUAAACAUUUGUAAAAACUAUUUUUUUGGAUAAGCCUUGAUCCUAUUUUGUCCAACAACUUUGUAUAAAUUGCAAUUUUGGGUCAAAUAUGUAAAUUUCUAUAUAUUUAUAACAUUAUAGUGACAUAACAACGGAUCUUUCUGCACUAAAGAGUCCAUAGUAUAUUAAUACAUCUGUCCAUUUUUCAAUAAAAUUGACAUACUUUUGAAAAGCUUAAAGGUUUGACUAUUUUUGCAAUUUCAGGGGUUAAAAAUAGCUCUUAUCAUACUUUUUUAUGGAAAAUUCUAGGAGAACACAUUGUUAAAUGCAUAUAUAGUCUUGUCCCUUUUCAAUGUGUUAGCUAUGUAAGCUCCUUGACUUAAUGCUUUAUUAGACCGCCAACGUUUAUGUUGGUAUUUUCAAAUGAUUUGAAAUACACUAAAAUGAUCAAUGUAUAAAACGUGAAUUUCAUUGCGCAUUUUUCAUUAAUUAUAUUUAUCCAGUCAUUUAGAAGUUAAUUUCAGCUGGUAAAUAGAACAGUUAAAUAAAUGUGUGUAUCAUGUUUAU